Molecule: ribosomal RNA, 468 nt
Filed under: uncultured bacterium
Lineage: Bacteria
Description: partial 16S ribosomal RNA
Rfam family: Bacterial small subunit ribosomal RNA
Source: RNAcentral
GACGAACGCUGGCGGCGUGCUUAACACAUGCAAGUCGAACGGAAAGGCCCUGCUUUUGUGGGGUGCUCGAGUGGCGAACGGGUGAGUAACACGUGAGUAACCUGCCCUUGACUUUGGGAUAACUUCAGGAAACUGGGGCUAAUACCGGAUAGGAGCUCCUGCUGCAUGGUGGGGGUUGGAAAGUUUCGGCGGUUGGGGAUGGACUCGCGGCUUAUCAGCUUGUUGGUGGGGUAGUGGCUUACCAAGGCUUUGACGGGUAGCCGGCCUGAGCGGGUGACCGGCCACAUUGGGACUGAGCUACGGCCCAGACUCCUACGGGAGGCAGCAGUGGGGAAGAUUACACAGUGGGCGGAAGCCUGAUGCAGCAACGCCGCGUGCGGGAUGACGGCCUUCGGGUUGUAAACCGCUUUCGCCUGUGACGAAGCGUGAGUGACGGUAAUGGGUAAAGAAGCACCGGCUAACUACGUG